Molecule: transfer RNA, 70 nt
Filed under: Sternochetus gravis
Lineage: Eukaryota; Metazoa; Arthropoda; Insecta; Coleoptera; Curculionidae
Description: tRNA-Ile
Source: RNAcentral
UUAAUAUCCAAGCUUAAUCUAUAUUAAUAAUAAAUUAAAAUUUUUAUCGAUUUACCAAAUAAAUCCAUUA